CCUACGGGAGGCAGCAGUGAGGAAUAUUGGUCAAUGGGCGGAAGCCUGAACCAGCCAAGUAGCGUGCGGGAUGAAGGCCCUACGGGUCGUAAACCGCUUUUGCACGGGGAUAACACCCUCCACUUGUGGAGGUCUGCAGGUACCGUGCGAAUAAGGGCCGGCUAAUUCCGUGCCAGCAGCCGCGGUAAUACGGAAGGCCCGAGCGUUAUCCGGAUUCAUUGGGCUUAAAGGGAGCGUAGGCGGGCGUUCAAGUCAGCUGUAAAAGCGCGCGGCUCAACCGCGCCCCGCAGUUGACACUGGACGCCUUGAGUGCACAACAGGCAGGCGGAAUUCGUGGUGUAGCGGUGAAAUGCAUAGAUAUCACGAGGAACCCCGAUUGCGAAGGCAGCCUGCCGGGGUGCGACUGACGCUGAGGCUCGAAGGUGCGGGUAUCAAACAGGAUUAGAUACCCCUGUAGUC
Molecule: ribosomal RNA, 459 nt
Filed under: uncultured bacterium
Lineage: Bacteria
Description: partial 16S ribosomal RNA
Rfam family: Bacterial small subunit ribosomal RNA
Source: RNAcentral